Molecule: ribosomal RNA, 398 nt
Filed under: uncultured bacterium
Lineage: Bacteria
Description: bacterial SSU rRNA
Rfam family: Bacterial small subunit ribosomal RNA
Source: RNAcentral
GGAAUCUUGCGCAAUGGACGAAAGUCUGACGCAGCAACGCCGCGUGGGCGAAGAAGGCCUUCGGGUCGUAAAGCCCUGUCAGGAGGGACGCCGGUGACGGUACCUCCGAAGGAAGCACCGGCUAACUCCGUGCCAGCAGCCGCGGUAAUACGGAGGGUGCAAACGUUGUUCGGAAUCAUUGGGCGUAAAGCGCGCGUAGGCGGUUCGUCAGGUCGGUUGUGAAAGCCCAGGGCUCAACCCUGGAAUUGCGGUCGAAACCGGCGAGCUGGAGUCCCGGAGGGAGAAGUGGAAUUCCUGGUGUAGGGGUGAAAUCCGUAGAUAUCAGGAGGAACACCGGCGGCGAAGGCGACUUCUUGGCCGAGGACUGACGCUGAGGUGCGAAAGCGUGGGGAGCAAAC